CCUACGGGAGGCAGCAGUGAGGAAUAUUGGUCAAUGGCCGCAGGGCUGAACCAGCCAAGUCGCGUGAGGGAUGACGGUCCUAUGGAUUGUAAACCUCUUUUGUCAGGGAGCAAAGGGCGCCACGUGUGGCGCUUUGCGAGUACCUGAAGAAAAAGCAUCGGCUAACUCCGUGCCAGCAGCCGCGGUAAUACGGAGGAUGCGAGCGUUAUCCGGUUUUAUUGGGUUGAAGGGGUGCGCAGGCGGAAUGUCAAGUCAGCGGUAAAAUUUCGGGGCUCAACCCCGUCGUGCCGUUGAAACUGGCGUUCUUGAGUGAGCGAGAAGUAUGCGGAAUGCGUGGUGUAGCGGUGAAAUGCAUAGAUAUCACGCAGAACUCCGAUUGCGAAGGCAGCAUACCGGCGCUCAACUGACGCUCAUGCACGAAAGCGUGGGUAUCGAACAGGAUUAGAUACCCCAGUAGUC
RNAcentral lists this ribosomal RNA (459 nucleotides) under uncultured bacterium. RNAcentral describes it as "partial 16S ribosomal RNA". It matches the Rfam family "Bacterial small subunit ribosomal RNA", at positions 338 to 795 of the family's 1533-position model. The record is from RNAcentral.